CGUUUAGUUGUAACAGACAAAUACACGUAUUUAUGUAGAUAAACAAGACCCUUGUUACUUUGGAAAGCCCUGUCAGUCUUCCACUAUGUAACGUUUAGCUGCAGCUGUACUAGACAACCUGUAGGGGACCGAAGCUCCGCUCCGACUGCACGCGCGCUCCCGCGGCCAGGGGAUACAAAUCCUGGCGGGGAUAAGUACCUUGGCACGACACCGAAAUCUGGCUGCUGGCUAGCCAAGUGGAACUGGAAAGCUGCAUAAAAGAUGUAAAUUCUGCAAAAAGCGUGUCUCACCUUGGACGCACUUGGAGAGGUCCCGGAGAUUGAAGACAUAGUGGGACUUAGCAGGAGUGGGC
This is a long non-coding RNA of Perca fluviatilis (European perch), 352 nucleotides long. RefSeq lists it as uncharacterized. NCBI's taxonomy places the organism in Eukaryota, Metazoa, Chordata, Actinopteri, Perciformes, Percidae. The record is from RefSeq and is a predicted model, not a curated record. The transcript has 3 exons.